Molecule: transfer RNA, 72 nt
Filed under: Bifidobacterium animalis subsp. animalis MCC 0499
Lineage: Bacteria; Bacillati; Actinomycetota; Actinomycetes; Bifidobacteriales; Bifidobacteriaceae
Description: tRNA-Gly
Rfam family: tRNA
About the family: Transfer RNA (tRNA) molecules are approximately 80 nucleotides in length. Their secondary structure includes four short double-helical elements and three loops (D, anti-codon, and T loops).
Source: RNAcentral
GCGGUGGUCGUAUAACGGUCAUUACUCCAGCUUCCCAAGCUGGCAACACGGGUUCAACCCCCGUUCACCGCU